This 178-nucleotide non-coding RNA is filed under the name uncultured Lawsonibacter sp. RNAcentral's name for it is "Lysine riboswitch". It matches the Rfam family "Lysine riboswitch aptamer". Rfam says of the family: Riboswitches are metabolite binding domains within certain messenger RNAs that serve as precision sensors for their corresponding targets. Allosteric rearrangement of mRNA structure is mediated by ligand binding, and this results in modulation of gene expression. This family includes riboswitches that sense lysine in a number of genes involved in lysine metabolism, including lysC. The record is from RNAcentral. Lineage: Bacteria; Bacillati; Bacillota; Clostridia; Eubacteriales; Oscillospiraceae.
UGAUAGAGGUCGCGGCCGACAUGAGUAUGCGUGGCCAGGGAGCCGGUUCCCGUCCACCCACGCCCAAAGGGAAGGCCGCCGAAGGGUUUUCCUCUCGCACCGGAACGGAGGGCCCUGGUCGCCGGGUCAACAGCUCUGCGACUGUCAUCAGGGCGGUUCCCUGAUGGAGCGCUGUCUG